GGUUCGAUUCUGGCUCAGAUUGAACGCCAUGGGAUGCUUUACAUGUGUCGAACGGCAGCACGGACUUCGGUCUGGUGGCGAGUGGCGAACGGGUGAGUAAUGUAUCGGAACGCCUAGUAGCGGGGAUAACUACGCGAAAAGCGUAGCUAAUACUGCAUACGCCUUCGGGGAAAGCGGGGGACCUUCGGGCCUGCAUUAUUAGGAGCGGCCGAUAUCGAUUAGCUAGUUGGUGGGUAACGGCUCACCAGUGUGACGAUCCGUAGCUGGUUUGAGAGAUGACCGCCACACCGGGACUGGAGACACGGCCCAGACUCCUACGGGAGGCAGCAGUGGGAACGGACAAUGGGGAACCCUGAUCCAGCCAUCCCGCGUGAUGAAGGCCUUCGGGUUGUAAAGCACUUUUGGCAGGAGUAAGAAACGGCACGGGAUAAUACCCCAGGCAACUGACGGUACCUGCAGAAUAAGCACCGGCUAACUACGUGCCAGCAGCCGCGGUAAUACGUAGGGUGCAAGCAAGACCGGAAUUACUGGGCGUAAAGCGUGCGCAGGCGGCUCGAAAGAAAGAUGUGAAAUCCCAGAGCUUUUAACUUUGGAACUGCAUUUUUAAUCAAUGAGCUAUGUCAGAGGGAGGGGAAUUCGCGUGUAGCAGUGAAAUGCGUAGAUAUGCGGAGGAACACCGAUGGCGAAGGCAGCCUCCUGGGAUAACACUGACGCUCAUGCACGAAAGCGUGGGGAGCAACAGGAUUAGAUACUCCUAUAGUCCACGCCCUAAACGAUGUCAACGUUGGGGCCUUCGCCUGGUAGCGCAGCUAACGCGUGGAAGUUGACCGCCUGGGGAGUACGGUCGCAAGAUUAAAACUCAAAGGACUUCCGGAUGGGACCUGCACAAGCGGUGGAUGAUGUGGAUUAAUUCGAUGCAACGCGAAAAACCUUACCUACCCUUGACAUGUCUGAAUCCCGAAGAGAUUGGUGAGUGCUCGCAAGAGAACCGGAACACAGGUGCUGCAUGGCUGUCGUCAGCUCGUGUCGAGAUGUUGGGUUAAGUCCCGCAACGAGCGCAACCUUGUCAUUAGUUACGCGAAAGGGCACUCUAAUGAGAUCGCUGUGAUAAACGGAGGAAGGUGGGAUGACGUCAAGUCCUCAUGGCUCCUUAUGGGUAGGGCUUCACACGUCAUACAAUGGUCGGGACAGAGGGUCGCCAACCCGCGAGGGGGAGCCAAUCCCAGAAACCCGAUCGUAGUCCGAUCGCAGUCUGCAACCUGACUGGUGAAGUCGGAAUCGCUAGUAAUCGUGGAUCAGCAUGUCGCGGUAACAUGCUCCCGGUCUGUACACACCGCCCGUCACACCAUGGGAGUGGUUUUACCAGAAGUAGUUAGCCUAACCGUAAGGAGGCGAUUACCACGGUAGGAUUCAUGACUGUGAAGUCGAAGCCAGUGGUGUAC
Molecule: ribosomal RNA, 1442 nt
Filed under: uncultured Bordetella sp.
Lineage: Bacteria; Pseudomonadati; Pseudomonadota; Betaproteobacteria; Burkholderiales; Alcaligenaceae
Description: partial 16S-23S ribosomal RNA intergenic spacer
Rfam family: Bacterial small subunit ribosomal RNA
Source: RNAcentral